UGGGGGAUAGUUUAAUGGUAGAACUGCGGUCUCUGACACCGUCGGUCCUGGUUCGAGUCCAGGUCCCCCAGCCA
RNAcentral lists this transfer RNA (74 nucleotides) under Rhodospirillaceae bacterium. Its description in RNAcentral is "tRNA-Gln". It matches the Rfam family "tRNA". From Rfam's summary of the family: Transfer RNA (tRNA) molecules are approximately 80 nucleotides in length. Their secondary structure includes four short double-helical elements and three loops (D, anti-codon, and T loops). Lineage: Bacteria; Pseudomonadati; Pseudomonadota; Alphaproteobacteria; Rhodospirillales; Rhodospirillaceae. The record is from RNAcentral. RNAcentral also lists the same sequence under 1 other name.